RNAcentral lists this transfer RNA (90 nucleotides) under Dreissena polymorpha. It matches the Rfam family "tRNA". Rfam says of the family: Transfer RNA (tRNA) molecules are approximately 80 nucleotides in length. Their secondary structure includes four short double-helical elements and three loops (D, anti-codon, and T loops). The record is from Rfam by way of RNAcentral. Lineage: Eukaryota; Metazoa; Mollusca; Bivalvia; Myida; Dreissenidae.
GCCGGAAUAGCUCAGUUGGGAGAGCGUUCGACUGAAGUUGUUUACGCAACAAUCAUCUAUAGGCCCCCGGUUCAAUUCCGGGUUCCGGCA